RNAcentral lists this ribosomal RNA (467 nucleotides) under uncultured bacterium. Its description in RNAcentral is "partial 16S ribosomal RNA". It matches the Rfam family "Bacterial small subunit ribosomal RNA", at positions 28 to 507 of the family's 1533-position model. The record is from RNAcentral.
GACGAACGCUGGCGGCGUGCUUAACACAUGCAAGUCGAACGGAAAGCCCUGGUUUUUUUGGGUGCUCCAGUGGCGAACGGGGGGGUAACAACUUGGUAACCUUCCCCUUACAUUUGGGUUACUUCCGGGAAACGGGGGCAAUAACCGAUAAGAACCUCUUCCGCCUGGUGGGGGUUUGAAAAGUUCGGCGGUUGGGGGUGGAAUCCCGGCUUAUCCGGUUGUUGGUGGGGUAGUGGCUUACCAAGGCUUUGACGGGUAGCCGGCCUGAGAGGGUGACCGGCCACAUUGGGACUGAGAUACGGCCCAGACUCCUACGGGAGGCAGCAGUGGGGAAUAUUGCACAAUGGGCGGAAGCCUGAUGCAGCAACGCCGCGUGCGGGAUGACGGCCUUCGGGUUGUAAACCGCUUUCGCCUGUGACGAAGCGUGAGUGACGGUAAUGGGUAAAGAAGCACCGGCUAACUACGUG